AGAUGAGGGGUCAGUCCAAGUGCCUCUGACCACUGGGCACUUGAACUGAGCUGCCUGCCACCCGAUGGCGGGGGUGGGGUGGGGGGGCACCCCUGGGUCCCAGAACUGGAAAAGUCUCCAUUCCCGACUUGCUGUGUGUGACCUGGGCGACGAGAAGAUGGGAAAGUGCUCUGAAAACCUGGAAGACUUCCCGGGGAACCCACCCUGCUUGGCGCAGGGGUCACUUGAUUUGCUUAAUGAAGCUCUUCGUGGAGACAGAUCGUUUGCAGUUGCAUUUUUAGGUCCUAGGUCCUCUCCUAUUUCAUGACAGGCAACUAAAAGAAGACAGCUGGCAUUUUCAACAUUCUGCCUGGACAGCCUUCAACUGGAUCUGUACCUUCCUUACACACCUUUUCUAGGUUCUCCAUCACCCCAUGCAAUAACUGAUCUAAGCGUUGUGUCAUAAAGACUAAAAUUAAAGCCAAUAUCGGGUACCGAGUUAACUUCCGGUGAAAUCAGAAGACCCUCAAAUAGCCUAAUGACAAGUCCCCCUACCCCUAACUCUGCUCCCGUGGAUGGAUAAGGCCCCAGCUAGGGGCACCUGGUUGCUCAGUCAGUUAAGGGUCUG
Lutra lutra (Eurasian river otter) is the source of this 607-nucleotide long non-coding RNA. RefSeq lists it as uncharacterized. NCBI's taxonomy places the organism in Eukaryota, Metazoa, Chordata, Mammalia, Carnivora, Mustelidae. The transcript is spliced from 3 exons. The record is from RefSeq and is a predicted model, not a curated record.